GUGGCUGACACCUGAAAUCCGGCAAACAAGGCCGGCAUUCUCCUGGGCCGCGGAGUGACACGCAACUACACAAACAUCAGUAGUUCCGCCUCCCUCAGGCGUUCGGUCUUCUCGGAGGGAGGGAGGGGCACCCGGAAGGGCAGAGCCUGGCGCAGUGCAACACACUGAUCGGGAGACAGAGAAGGAUGACUUUCAUUCAUUGUUAUCGCAGCCGAUGAGUUUGUCGACAAUGAGGCUCAACUGCACCCUCGGACGCAAUUUGUUCAGGAAUGCCGUUGGGCCAAAAGGAAAAGAGCAGCUCGACCAGUGAGACGGGAUGUCCGCCACCUGCCUGCUGGCCUCCUCCAGGGACGCGCCGAUCCUCAUUUUGGGCCGCAGCAGCUCCAAGGUGUCGCUGAUCAUGUAGUCAAUGUCGAUGGGGAAGGGGUGCUCUUUGGUCCAGGCCUCCACGCUCUUCUUCCACCAGAUGUAGCGCUGCAUACACACGCCCAAGCAAGCGUCAGGCCCGUUUGCCCAUCACCGGGGUUCCUCACUCACCUGGAAGUAGAUGAGGAAGCAGUCCAGCUUCUUCUUGCUGGAGCCCCGGUCAAAGUACUGGCCGCAGGUGUCGAGCAGCGUGCACACCAGGCGGAUGCGGAAGAGGUGCUCGGGGGGGUCCAGCGAGCUGGGGCUGCCGUCCUGGUUGACGCCGAAGGAAAUGAAGGAGAAGAGCGUGCGGAAGAUGACGGCCGACUCCACCAUACGGUAGUUGUACAGCUCGCCCAGGAACUUGGCACUGCUGAUGCGCCGCUGGUUGAACUUGGGCUGGUUGACCUGUCGGCCCGCAAAGCCGACACGUCAAGGCUCCGCUUUUGGCGAGUUCUCCCGCUUUUUACGCUUGAGGGUGGACAAAGUGCACGGCGGCGGCGGCGGCAGCAGCAGCGUACCUCCAUGCCCAGCCGUAUGUCCUCCAGCACGCCGUCCACCACGUGGAUGCCCACGUCCUCCUGGUAGGCCACCAGGCCGGCCAGCAGGUUGGCCACGCAGUGGAUGCUGUUGUACUUGACGUUCCAGAUGUUGGCCAUGCAGCAGAUCAGGUAGCUCUUCACCUCGGCGUCCUGCCAAGGCAGCUUGCGCAUUUGCCUGAGCACCUUCUCGGUGGUGACCUUCGACAGGUCCUUGUAGAGCAGCUUGCGGAUGUACUCCUGGAGCGGCGGCCGCUUUUUCUUCACCGUCUUCUCCACCGGCGGCGGGUUGCAGUAGUAGUAGGCGUUCUCCACCAUGGUCACGUAGCGCGCGUCCAGAUGCUGAGCCUGCUUUUUACGCAUCAUUUGCUCCUGGAGGCCACAUCAAUAGCGGAAACAAAGUUCACCGAAAUAAUCGUCGUAAAAGCAAGAAGAAAGGGAAGAGUGGCUGACCAGCAGGACGCUCGUGCGCAGGUGAGAGUCGGGCGACCUGAAGAGGAAGCGCCCGCAGGUCUCCAGCAGGGUGCAGGCCAUCUCCACGUGGUGAUGCGUGAAGUCGGACAGCAGCAUCUGGUGGUGUCACAAAUGAACUUGUUGCCAUAGAAGAGCUUUGCGUUCAACAAUGGCAUGAAUGAUAACAAAAAUUAAAAAAAAGGGGGGGGGGCGUCUCGGUACCGCCGGACCUCUGACUAGAAAUUCCUUCUGAGAGCGGACGGGACUUUGGCGCCACUUUGCGGCAUAAGGGAAGAUGAUAGAAAAGACAACGGACAGACCCGUCGUCCAAGUCAACAAAGACGUGGGUCCACCUUGAGACAAUGAAGCGUGUCCGUCUUGGAGAACAUCUUGAACUUGGCCAGCUCGCCGAUAAACCUGACCGUUUUAUUUUUGGUCUCGAUGUUGAUCUGGUCCUUCUUGCGGAUCUGGAAGAUGAAGGCGACAGGGAAGGAACAUUGUUCAUAGACAGAGACUCUCGGGAGGUGCGGCGAGGUCGCCGGCACAGCCAGCCCGGGGGCCGUACGUGAAACCUGAAGUCUCCCUUCAGCAUGGAGCAGAGGUCCUCGGCCACGUCCGACAUGCAGGGAUGAAGCGUGGCCACCAGGCGGGAGUAAAAAGGCAGCAGAUCCAACCUCUGCCGGGGCACGGUGAAGAGCGCGCGCACCAGCUUCCUCCUGUUGGAUUUGGUGUUCAUGUUCAUGCAGAAGUCCAUGGCGGCCUGCAGGGAGGGACGCAGCCCGCUGACGUUAGGCGCCGGCCCAGCUCUCUCCACGCGCUUUGGGCUCACCUUGUCGAUGAGGUCUCUGUUGACGCAGUUUGGCAGCUGCUGGAUGAAAGCGUCCACGAUCAGCUUCAGGUGAGACCCCGUGCUGGCCUCCUCGUCCUCUUGCUCUAAAAAUCAUGGCCCGUGAGAACGAGCGUUCCGACACGAGAAAGGAAGGGCAGGUCCAUCGGCGGUGUGCUUCACCCUGCUCAUCCAUGAGCUUUUUGCUCAGCUCGUCGCUCUCGGCCUCGUCGGCUCCUUCCGCUUCCAGAGGCUCCUCGGCGAUGUCCAGCGCCUCCAGCUCUAGCUCCAGCUCCUCCGCGGUUACGGCGGCCUCCUUCGCUUCCCGGCCGUCUGUCCAAGAAAAAUAAAGAUACAAAAAUGGAAGGUCACGCACGACCCAAGUCAACUUUGAUCUGGCUCGGGUGCAAAAACAGCGAAGACAUGAUGUUGUUUUGUUUUCUUCGAUACAGAAAAGAAAUGACAAACGGUCGCAUUGGUGUUGGGUAUGAGCAAUCAAGGGGCGUGGCCUAGCGAGUAACGUCAUUUCAGACGUACCUUUGGCUUCAUCCUUGUCUUUGCUUUGUCCGCCGCCCUUGUCGUUGUCCUUGAAGAGGAUGGCGGGCACGAAGGCCUUCAGGUCCACCAGGUUCUCGUAGAAGUUGCGAGCGUCUUCGUCCUCCCAGAGGCCGCCUUCCAGGUCGUAGUCUCCGGGCUUGCCGGGGGUGAAAAUGUCGAUGCCGGGUCCGUGUUCUGCGUAAGGAAGCAAAGCUUUAUUCCGCCGAGUGGAAGGCGCGCCAGAUUGAGGCUGGAGCGAAGGAAGGACGGACGGACGGACAGACGGAGGGACGGCCCGACGGAGGGACGGCCCGACGGAGGGACGGCCGGCCUACCUUCCGGCACAAUCUUGUCCUGAGGCAACUCUGGCAUGUUUUCGUCCAGCAGGUCAGCCAGCGACUGAGUGUUGGCCAGCAGCUUCUGGUAGGACGUGGCAAACUCCUCGUACUGCUUGUGGCGGUCCUCGCUCAGCUCCCCUUUGGAAUGCAAGAUGCGCCUGUGGAGCACACACAGGGCACGUUAGCGCUCAGCGAGGGAGCGGGCGGCCCGACCGACCGACCGACCGAGCCAUUUUGAAAAACAACAAUAGGCCCGGGUCGACUCCAGCCAGCUAAAGCUCGGCCGACCUGUUCUGCCUCUCGAUGUUCUGCAGCUCCCUGUGGUCCUUCUUGAGGUGCUUGGCGAGCGAGGUGAAGUACUCGCGCAGCAGGUUCUGGAAGGGCUGCUGCUUCUCCACGCUGAUGAUCUCGCUGGGGGGGAAGGCCAGGCCGUACUUGUCUGCGGCCAUCUUGACUUUGCGGGGCAGCAGCCCGGCGAUGUCGUCGCCGCAGUGCUUGCAGAAGCUGAUCACCACCGCCACGUGCGUGUGCGUGUCGCGGUCGGCGCCGAUGAUGUUCUUGAGCUGCUCGUAGAUGAGCGACAGGCCCUCUUUGUCGGUGAAGAAGCCCACGAUGGUGAGCUCGGCCAGGAAGCGCAGGCCUGCAGGAGCAGCGGGGCAAAGUCGCCGUAGCGCUGAUGGAAGAGCGAGCACAGGUGCACGGCGCAGCCCACGUCCGAGAUCUUCAGCUUGGCCUCCACCACCGAGCUCACCGCCUCGCCGAUGUACUUGCUGAGGCUGGAGUCCAGGCGGCUGAAGAAGGCCUCUUCCGGACGGCUCUCCUGGGCAUUCUGGUUGCGGGCGCGCAGCUCCUUCCGGCAGUGGUGACGCUCCCAGGCCUCCUGGUGCAGCUGCUGACCUUCUUCCUGUUCC
Syngnathus typhle (broad-nosed pipefish) is the source of this 4009-nucleotide long non-coding RNA. RefSeq lists it as uncharacterized. Lineage: Eukaryota; Metazoa; Chordata; Actinopteri; Syngnathiformes; Syngnathidae. The transcript has 4 exons. The record is from RefSeq and is a predicted model, not a curated record.